This is an unclassified non-coding RNA of Vigna unguiculata (cowpea), 12152 nucleotides long. The record is from RefSeq and is a predicted model, not a curated record. NCBI's taxonomy places the organism in Eukaryota, Viridiplantae, Streptophyta, Magnoliopsida, Fabales, Fabaceae.
CCCUUAUGGUUAUUCCAGUGCGACAGUUUCUUCUGGCAUAUUCUAUCUGUUAUACAUGUUUCUUUUUUCGAUGAUUGUGGUAUAUGGCUUUGGGGAUUGUGUUUCUUGAUCAAGUUUUUUCAGGAUUUUUCGAAUUUAGGGUCGAUAAAUGUGUUUUGUCAGAUUGAAGAACGCGAGCAUUAUCAGUGCCUUUGUCGGAUUAUCAAACUGAAGAAUACAAAAAUUAUUCUGAAUAUCAUUCUUUAUCUGAUGAUGAUGUCGAGUUUUGGAUCUUUUCGCGUACUUUACAGUUUUGGAUCUUUUCGCGUAUUUUCUUUACACCUAAUUGUCGCCUGUUCUCUGACAUUUCUUUUGCAUAUGGAUGAUAUGAAAAGCAUAAUAAUUCAGAACAGCCGUGGGCUCAGCAUAACCUAAGUCUUCUUUGUGGCUCCUUUCUGUUAUAAUAUAAGCUGUUUGGUAUUGAUCAUCGAAUAUAGGAUUGAACCAUGAUUUGUUUAUCUGCAGUGGUGUGUGGAAUGGUUUUGUAACAUCCUGAUUUAAGAGUUGUUAUCGUUUUCUUGAAUUUUGGGUCUGUACAGGGCAGGCACGGUGUAUGAAUGUGUGGUGUAGGAGAUCAUGUAAGUUUUAGGUUUUGUUAAGACGAUCUGAUCUCGGAACCUGUCAGAUUUGUUGUCUGUGUUUAUUCCUCUGCAGCAUGUCCUGAAUCUCUGAGAUUUAUUUUGGCGGUUGAGAAUGUAGAAUCGAGUUUCCAUCGCUGUUGCUCUCAGUAUCCAAAUUUCUCGAUGGAUGUUCUCUCAUAUCGACUUUCUCUCGACUUGAUUACGACUUGAUCACAUAAGGAUUGAAUUGUGAUUUGUUCCCCGGAAGCUUUAGGUUCUGUUAUUCUCACCUGUUAUUCUCACUUUUUUGUAUUUAUCUUUGACUAGCUAUUUGAUGAUUCCUUUUCAGCACGAUGUCGGUUGAGAAUUAAAAACCAUAAAUGUGAAUAUAGUUCUUGUUUGAUUUUUGAAAUCUGUCAAAUCUAGGUGUGUGAUCUGCGAUUGUGAUGAUUCCUUCUCAGCACAUUAACACAAUGUUUGGGGAUUCGUUUGGCCUAAGCAUAUAUUAGGAGCGAAGAUGUCUUUGCAUUUUGGUUGUUUUUCUGCAGCAAUUUUUGGGGGAUUUGUUUGGCGUAACAUUAGUCUCAUUGAGCAUAUAUUAGGAGCGAAAAAUGUCUCUGCUUUUUGGUUGGAUUCAUUGCUGACCUUGCAAUGUGGCUGUGAGUUCUUGUGGAUUUUUGUAACAUGCACUAUCAGACUAUUGGAGGCACCGCAAAUUGGGGAGGAUUUGUCUGACAACUAGAUGAUUAAAUGGAAACUUCUCUUAAAAAUUUUCUUUCUGCUUUUUGGUCAUGUUAUUGUUUUUUUCCCCUCAUUUCUUAAUGAUUUGAAUUUCUAAUUUCAUAUAUGAAGUACUGGAUUCAUUGUGAAAAAAAGGAUGAAAGGAUAAGAUAUGAUGGCCAUUUCAUAUAUGCUGUUUGACUGUUAUUGAACUUACUGCAAAACUUUAUGUUCUAUUGCGUUUUCAUUUAGUAGCUCUCUUAUGUGUUUGGAGUUGAAAUGACUAUUGUUUCUCUUACUGAUUGUAGGAAGGUACAUGGUCAGCCAUUGUGUUAAUCGAAGGAGGAGUCAUUCUUCAUAGUUGAAAUUAUGAUCAGCCUCUUACGGAAAUUUGUCUAUUGUUUUUUUAGAAAUUUUAUUUUUGUAUCCAUCUUAUUGUCUAGGUCCUUCACCUUUUACCCAGAUUAAUUAUAGUUUUCUUAAAUUCAUGGGUUGUAUAGGGAAAUUACAAAAUGAAGUGGAGGCAUAGUGUGCAAAUGAUGGGUGGUGGUCAUGUUUUGGGAACAGUGAAUGGAGAUCCCGUGAAACUUAAGGUCAGGCAAAACUUGUGGAGUGGGGAGAUCUUGUAGAUACUCGCUAUAUGAGGAAACUAAGAAAUGAAGUGGGUGCGGAGUGUGCAAAUGGUGAGUGGUGAGCAGGUUUUGGAAACAGAGGAAGCGGCAAUGAAACUUUAGGUACAUGUGUCAAACAUGGCGUUUGUCCAAGCAGGGAAACUACGAAAUGAAGUGGGUGCAAGGUAUCCAAAUAGAGGGUGAUUGGCAGGUUUUGAAAACUAAGAAAUGAAGUGGGUGCAAGAUAUGCAAAUAUAGGGUGGUUGGCUGGUUUUAGAAACUAAGAAAUGAAGUGGGUGCAUGGUGUUCAAAAAGUGGGUGGUUGGUAGGUCUAGGAAACAUUGGAUGGAGAUGAUGGAGAUAUCCGUUGAAACUUUAGGUCUCAUUAUCUUUGCAUUCAUUUAUUUUCUUUAUCGUUGUUCUUCAUGCUAAACUUGUGGAGUGGUUAUAUCUUAUAAAUAGGCACUAUAUAAGUGAGAGGCUUUGACAUGGGAGUUGUUCGAUUGUUGACUCUCUUUAUGUUGGUUGUCCUCUAUUAGUCGUGUUGCAACAAUGAGGAUGUCUGUUGGAUCAUGGAGGCAUAGCUAUAAAUUAUUGAACUUACUUCAAAGCUUUAUAUUUUAUUACGUCUCCAUUUAUUUUCAUUCUUGUGUGCUCGAGUUUGAAUGGCUGUAGUCAGUCAAGUUAGCCAUGUUGUUUGUUUAAGCAAGAGUAAUACUUGAUCAUUAAACAUUAUGAUUGUCGAGCUAAUUGUGGAAAUUUCUCCUUUGGUAUCUUUAAUUAUUAACUUUGUUUGUUCAUCUUAUCGUCUAGGUCCUUCAUCUUCUACCGUAGUUUUCUUGAAUUCAUGGGCUUUACAGGAAAAUUAAGAAAUGAAGUGGGUGCAGAGUGUGCAAAUGGUGGGUGGUGGGCUGGUUUCAGAAACAGAUCCGGAAGGUACGUGUGUCAACCAUGGUGUUUGUCUGAGCAAGAGCAAUACUCGAUCUUUUAACAUUGUGACUUUGAACAUUGUGAUCAUAAAGCCUGUUAAGGAAAUUUCUCUAUUGAUUUUUCUAAUUCUUGAAUUUAUUUAUUCAUAUUAUCGUCUAUGUCCUUCCUCUUUUACCCUGAUUGUUUUACGUUUCUUAAAUUUAUGGGCUUUACGUUUCUUAAAUUCAUGGGCUUUAGGCUUUACAGGAAAACUAAGAAAUGAAGUGGGUGCAGAAUGUGCUAAUGGUGGGUGGUGGGAAGGUUUUGAACCGGGAUCGCGUUUGCAUUCACUGUUUUCAUUACCGUUUUUCAUCAUGUUAACCUUCAGGAGUGGUAGAUCUUAUAACUAUAAACUUUGUUGAUUUUAAUUAUCAUUUUCUAUACGUGUUGCUGCGAAGAGGAUGUCUAUUGGGUCAUUGGGUCGUUUUUCAUCAUGUUAACCUUCUGGAGUGGGAGAUCUUGUAACUAUAAACUGUAUGAGUUAAAGGCUUUGACGAUGUCGUUCUAGACUUGACUUGUUGAUUUCAGUGAUCUUUUUUUUUGCACAGCUGCGAAGAGGAUGUCUAUUGGGUCGUGGAGCGAAUAACUAUUGAUUAUUUAACUUAGUACGAAGCUUUAUGUUUUAAUACGAUACCGUAUCCUAUUUUUCUUAAGUGCUCAAGUGGAAUGGUUGCAGUCUCUCUUAUUUGUUCUAGGAAGGUACAUGUGUCAGACGUGGCCUUUGUCUAAGCAAGAACAAUACUCAAUCUUCCUGUUAUGGGAAUUUCUCCACGGGUUUCUUAAUUCUUGAAUUUGUUUAUCCAUCUUACUGUCUAGAUCUUUCACCUUUUACUCGGAUUGAUCUGGUUUUAGAAACAGAGUGGAUGGAGAUCUGGUUUGGAUUCAUUAUUUUUUUGUCGUGUUCUUCAUGCUAAACUUGUGUAGUGAGAUAUGCUAUAAAUACGCACUAUAUGAGUGAGAGGCUUUGACAUGUCUAUGGUUCGACUGUUGGCUAUAUUUAUGUUGUUGAUAUUCUUCUUCUAGUCAUGUUGCAGCAAUGAGGAUGCCUAUUGGAUCGUGGAGGCAAAAGCUGUAAAUUUUUGAACUUGCUACAAAGCUUUAUGUUUGAUUACAUUUCCAUUUAUUAUAAUUCUUGUGAGCUCGAUUUGGAAUGGUUGUUGUUUCUUUUAUUGGUUGUCUCAGGUACAUGUGUCAGUAAUGAUGUUUGUCUAAGCAAGUGCAAUACUUGAUAGCAUGGACAUUAUGAUCAUCAAGUUUGUUAAGGAAAUUUCUCAAUUGGUUUUUCUAAUUCUUGAAUUUGUUUAUUCGUCUUAUCGUCUAUGUUCUUCCUCUUCUACCUUGAUUGAUGUAGUUUGUUAAAUUCGUGGGCUACGUUCAUGGGCUUUACAGGAAAUAAAUGAAGUGGGUGCAGGGUGUGCAAAUGGUGGGUGGUGGACAACUUUUGGAAACAGUGUAUGGGGAUCCGGUGAAAACUUAGGUUUACUUAUUUUUUCAUUCAUUAUGUUCAUUGUAUGAGUGAGAGGCUUUGACAUUUGUCUCGUUGCAACAGGUGAUAUUGAUGAUUUUAAUUAUCCUUUUCUACUAUUGUUGCAGCGAAGAGGAUGUCUAUUGGGUCGUGGAGCCAACAACUCUAGAUUAUUUAACUUACUAGGAAGCUUUAUGUUUUAUUAUGAUUCAAUUUUACUAUUUUUCUUACGUGUUCGAGUUCGAAUGGGUGUAGUCUCUCUUUUUUUUUGUAGGAAGGUACAUGUGUCAGCCGCAAUGUUUGUCUAAGCAAGAGCAAUACAACUGAACAUAGUUUUUUGUUUCUUGUGUUGUCAGUGAUCUCUUGCUUCUCUCUCUAUUGGCCUGAUGAGCUCAUUUCACCAUCUUUUUGUGCUUGGUUUGGUUCUCACAGUGAACUCAAGUGUGGUCGUUUGUGGAAGAAAUUAACUAUCCUAUAAAAUGGUUUGGUGAUUUGGGUGAAGUAAAUGGUGUUCGUGAUCAAUUGAUGUGGUCAGAUUUUGGUGUUGAAGAGAGUUUAGUACGACUUGCAUUCUUAUUCUUGCAUAUUGUUUGCACUCUUCGGUACUCCGAGAUCACAGCUGUGUUUACUUCCUUCAGUUUGGGGUCUCACAAUUUGUGAUAGGAUGUGGGAACCAUAUGCGAUCUUGUUGCAGACUAUUUUACUCAAUCUUAGUCCAUUGCUGAUUUUGUUCAGUCUGAAAACUUUUGCUAAUACAUAUGUGGGCACAGGUUUUGGAAGUUGUGAAUGAAGAUCCAGGCAGAUUUUAGGUUUUAUAUUAUCUUUGCGUUCACUAUUUACUCUGAAGUUAUUCUUGUCUACAUUUGUGGACUGGUGACACACACUAUAUGAGUAUAAGAGGCAUUGGCAUUUGUAUUGUUCGGCCUUUAACUCGUUCUUCAGUGAUGACUAGACUUACUUUGGAUGUCUGUUGGGCGAUGGACGCAAUGGAGGUAGAUUUUUGUUUGGAACAACUAGUCUCUCUUAAUGAUUGAAUAGUGGGAAGGUGUAUUAAAUACUUUUCUUAUGCGCUUGAUUUGGAAUGGGUGUACCCUCUCUUAUUGCUUGUCGGAAGGUACUUGAUCACUGAACAUUAUGAUCAUUGAGUCUGUUAUGGGAAUCUCUCUGGUGGUUUUUUAAUUAUUGAAUUUAUUAUCUCCUAUGAAGCCAAGUGCAAUGAAGUGUGGUGUAGAUGUGCAAAUUGUGCGUCAAAGAGGUGUUUCUGUUAUGCAGUUGAAGUGGGGUUUGUUGUUGAAGAACUGGCCAUCUUCUGUUUUUACUUUUCCUUGAUCUUUGAUGAGCUCACUUCACCAAAUUUUUGUGCUUGGUUUGGUUCUCACGGUGAACUCAAGUGUGGUCGUUUGUGGAAGAAAUUAACUAUCUAUAAAAUGGUUUGGUGAUUUUCUAUUGAUUUGGCUGAAGUAUAUCGUUGUGAUCAAUUGAGAUUUCGGUGUUAAAGAGAGUUUAAUGCGUCUUGCAUUCUGAUUCUUGCGUAAGAUUUGCACUCUUCGGUACUCCAAAAUCACAGCUCUAUUUACUUCCUUCAGUUUGGUGUCUCCAAAUUUGUGAUAGGAUGUGGGAACCAGAUGCUUUCUUGUUGCAGACUAUUUUACUUAAUCUUAGUCCCUUGCUGAUUUUGUUCAAUCUCAAAACUUUUGCUAAUAUAUAUGUGGGUAAAAGUGUUGGAAGCUGUUAAUGAAGAUCCAGGCAAACUUUAGGUUUUAUAUUAUCAUUGCGCUACAUUUGUGGAGUGGUGGCAGGCACUAUAUGAGUAUGAGAGGCAUUGACAUUUGUAUUGUUUGGCCUUUAACUCAUUUUGCAGUGAUGACUAUACUUACUUUGGAUGUCUGUUGGAUGAUUGUCGCAAUGGAGCGAAGAGUUGCUUGCUAUGGAUAUCUGUUGUGGAGGCAAUGGCUGGAGAUUAUUGUUUGGAAUGGCAGUAGUCUCUCAUUGGAAUUGAUGUAUUUCUGGGCAUUCUUGGUUCUGGAGUUUUGGGUUUAAAACAUCACGUGAUGACCGAUUUUAGCUUGUUGUUUAGAGUGACUAAGGCUACCCUGGUUUUAUGGGAUCAUCUUCCGUGAGUUUUGAUUUAGUUGGUUGGUAAGCUAGCAAUAUCGGAUUUCCUUGUUUUCUUAUCAGGAACAAUGUUUCUGGAGUUGGAUAUAAUGAAACAACAUAUGUAAUGUUUUUGCUGUACAAGUUUGAAAUAUGUGAUGUGCUUGUCAGAUAUUUUGUAGGUAUGUAAUGUAUUUUUAACAAUUGUCGUGUAUAAAAUUAUUAUGACUGAUGGAUUGCCUUUAAUAGUUAUUACACCGAAGGUCCUAGUGGAUGAUUCUCAUUAUUGUAAUAAUUCUAUGGCAUUUUUUUUCGUACUUAUUUUCGAAGAUGUAUUUUACAAUUAGUUCUGCAAUGGUUCUUUUCUUAUGGACUCUGCUUUAUUUUUUAUUCAAAUGUUUUUAAAUUAUUUUUUCGUUUGUGAUUUGUAAUAGAUGCUUAGGGUGUCACAGAUAUGUUUUUCAUUUUUACAUUGUCUGGAAUUCUUUUCUAUUUUUUAAUUUGAACCGAAGCACUUUAAUUCUUUUCCUGGAAAACAUCUUUUUUAACUGCUUUCUUUGUUAAACCUGAUAAGUCCUUUCUUGUUUUGGAUUUGAUCAAUCAUUUUGUGUAAUGUCUCUAGUCUGUUAGUGACAAUGUUUUUAAACCAUUGUAUACAUACGCCUUUAUUAAUGUACAUACAUUGUUCUAACUUGGAGUUGUUUAGUACAUUUGUUGUACAAUUUGUGAUUUCUUUUACAUUGAAAAACUUUGAAUUGAAAUUCUUACUUUUGUCUUUGUUAUAUUUUUAUUUUUAUUUUUAUAAUAUUUUGAAAUUCAAAAUUAAUUAUUAAGGUAUCCUUAUCUUCUGCUGCAACAUCUCCUAGGCUCAUUGUGACAACUUUCCUCAGCCUACAGAUUCAUGACAUGCGUCCUGCAUCCUCUCUUUUUCAAAUAUUCUCUAAAAUGUUUAUUCUUCAUUCUUUUGUUUUUUCACAAUCCUCUUUAGAUUUUUGCUCCUUUCAUCUUCUUCUCUGCCAUUCCCUUGCUGUCAUUUCUUUCUUCCAGAUUUUUCAGGGUUUUGCGAAUUAUCUAGUUGAUCGAAGUUCACUUUGUCGGAUUGAAAGCAAGCAUUAUUAGUAGUCGCAAGAAUUAUCAGUAAAUUUAUACCUUUAUUUGAUGAUUACGAGCUUUGGACCUUGUGGUUCUGACAUCUGGUGUCUGUCAUACGGCUUGGUGAUUCUUCAUUGGUUUUGAUUCUUGAAUUUUUGAAUUCUUGUUGUUUCUAUAGUUCCAUCUUCUAGGAAGACAAGCAAUGUGUGGUGUAGCUUCUCUUGUGAAGUAUUUGAUGAUGAUGAUGCAUCAAAUUUUGGUGUUUGUGCUCUUUCUUUGUAAGCAUGUCCUCAAUCCUAAGUUUUCGUUUGUACGACUCCUUUUCUGAUUGUGAAGCACUCUUCAGUACCCCAUCAUCACACCCUAUUUACUUUUGGGGUCUCACUAUUUGUGACAGGAUGGAGGCAGAUGCUAUGUUUUGCUGGCUAUAUUUCUCUGUUGUAGUCCCUUACUGAUUCUGUUCAAUCUGAAAAAUCAGGUUACUUUGCUAAUUGAUAUGUGGGGGACAAGUUUUGGAAGCAGUUGAUGGAUAGCCAGAGAAACUUUUGGUUCUAUUAUCUUUUCUUUCUUUAUUUUAUUCGCAGAGUGGGAGUUCUUGUAAAAAGGCACUAUAUGGGUAUGAGAGGCUUUUGUAAAUUGUGUAGUUGUGCCUUUGACUCAUUUUGCAGUGAAGACUUGCAAUGGAUGUCUAUUGGGUUGUGGAGACAAUAGCGGUAUAUUAUUGUUUGGAAUGGCUGUAGUCUCUCUCAUUGGUUGAAUAAUAGUAGGAAGCGAAACUAAGAAAUGAAGUGUGUGCAAGGAAUGCAAAUAGAGGGUGGUUGGCAGGUUUUAGAAACGGUGGAUGGAGAUUUGUGAAGAAGAUGUCUAUUGGAUCACGGAGCAAUGAGAACAAGCUGCUUAGCUUCGGAGAUUUCUUUUGCAAGUCGAGUAUUGAAAAUCUUUGGAGUUUAGAGCACUUGAGUUUGCCCUUUAUAGAAUCCUCUGCACAGUGAAGACUAGACUUUCUAUGGUCGUGGAGGCAAUGGUCGUAGAUUUUUGUUGGAAUGGCUGUAGUCUCUCUCCUUGGUUGAAUAGUGUGAAGGUCCUUCAUCAUCUACACAGUUGAUUAUUCUUUGCUUGAAUUCAUGGACUUUACUUGGAAGCCAUGGACUUUACAUGAAAGCCAAGCAAUGAAUUGUGGUGUAGAUAUGCCAAUGGUGUGUUGAAAUACUGCAAUCUAUGAAACUAAAGUGAGCAUACCUCCCCUAACUCUCUUCAAUCUCGUUUUCAGCAUUCGCCCAGGGAGAGAGUGAAAUCCUAAUAGCUUGUUGUGUUGAUUUAUCCUCGAUUUGUUCAAGUAAUAAACGCAAACAAUCAAUCGUCUAAAGCUCAAAUAGAUCUGGGGCUCUCACUCUAAUUUAAAAUGGCUUUAGGUGGAACAGCUCCCCCAAGAGGAAGUGCAGCUGCUACUGCAAACAUGAGGAGAAGAAGAACAGCCGGUGGUGGGGCAUCUGGAGGAGCAGCUGGAACUAUGCUCCAAUUUUACACUGAUGAUGCCCCUGGACUCAAGAUCUCCCCAAAUGUGGUUCUUGUAAUGAGCAUUGGCUUUAUAGCAUUUGUUGCUAUCCUUCAUGUGAUGGGAUAGCUGUAUUUUGUGCGUAGGGAGGCUUAGAAGAGAAAAGAUUUAGGUCCAUUUUUGGAUAUUUAAUACACAGUCUCUCUUAUGAAACAGUCUCAGAACCUUUCCUUGCUUUUGUAUUUUGGUACAUUCCUUCGUUAUUUUUAAAGGUAAAAACAGUGUAAAUACACUGGUAGUAAGAAGAAAUAUUUUGUUACAUCAUUUUGUUUUCGCACUUGGUGGUGUUUUAGUUUCCCUUAGUCUCUUAACUGAGAUGAAAACUGAAGUAUUAAAAAGUAUGCUGUGAUUGAUUUCUAACCAGGUUAACUUCUAUAGCAGAAUUUCUAGAUUUUAUUUUACAGACCUUUUAUUCAAAUUCAUGAGGCUGAAGGUGUUACUCGUUUACUUGGACUGGUUUCAUGUAUCUCCCACGAACCAACUUGCCUUGCUAUUUUCUAUUUAGUGCUUGUCAGGGAUAACUUGAAAGUUUGGACAUCAAUUGUGUUUUGUUGAAACAAUCUGUUUGAGAAUUAUCAAAUGUGUCUUGGAAUAUUUGUUUAAAUAUACGAAAAAUCUAUGUCAAAUCUAUUGGAUGAUCUGUUUGCCGUUUUAACGGGCUGCCACAAGGAUUGAAAACUAUGAUAGUUUAGAGCAGCCAAUUUCUUCUGAGUUUGCUACAUUAUGAGGGCUCUAUUUAAUUCUAUCUCCAAUGUGAGAAACAACAGUAUUUGGAAUUAUUUAUUGUAAUCUUCCUACACCUUAUUUAGGGCCAUCAGCCACUUCGAGUUUUCUCGGAAUAAUUGUUUUUCCUGCGAAUUUUAGGUUUUUUUAUCUUUGCAUUCAAUAUUUUAUUGUAGUUAUUCUUCUACUGCUGAACUUGCGGAUUUGAGUUCUUGUGUUUUUGUAAUAGACACGGUAGAAGGUUUAGUUGUUGGCUAAACUUGUGGAGUGGGAGUUCUUGUGCGUUUGUAACAGGCACAAUGUGAUAAUAGCCAUCAGCAAUUGUGUUGUUUGAACUUUUGACUCUGUCGAUUUGAUCAUCUUCUUCUACUCUUUUUGCAGUGAAGACAUAAUAUGAAUGUUUGUUGGGUCGUUGAGACUAUGGCGGUAGGUUAUUGGACAUCAUGUGAAGCUUUAGGUCGAGUAUUGAAAAUCUUUGGAGUUUAGAGCACUUGAGUUUGCCCUUUAUAGAAUCCUCUGCACAGUGAUCUCUGUAAAUCCUUCUUUCAAUGAUGAUGUGUUGGGGUUGAUCAUGUUCAAGGCUGGUCUAGAAGACCCAAAAGGAAAACUCUCUACGUGGAAUGAAGAUGAUUAUAGUCCCUGCAACUGGGUUGGUGUCAAAUGUGACCCUAUAAACAAUAGGGUAUCUUCUCUUGUUCUUGAUGGAUUCUCUCUUUCUGGGCACAUUGAUAGAGGUCUUCUGAGACUUGUCCCUUUCUAGGAUUAACUUCACAGGGACCAUAGCUCAUGACCUUCUCAGCAUUGGUGAUUUACAAGUUGUUGAUUUGAGUGAGAACAACCUCUAUGGGGUAAUUCCAGAUGAGAUUUUCCAGCAAUGUUGGUCUCUAAGAGUGAUUUCAUUUGCCAACAACAAUCUCACAGGUAAGAUUCCUGAUUCAUUGAGCUCCUGCUACUCUUCGGCAGUUGUGAACUUUUCCUCUAAUCAGAUACAUGGGGAACUUCCAUCUGGAAUGUGGUUUUUGAGGGGACUUCAAUCAAUUGAUCUUUCAAACAACUUGCUGGAGGGAGAGAUUGCAGAAGGAAUUCAGAAUCUGAUUGAUUUGAGGGAGUUGAGGCUGGGGAAGAACCUCUUCACUGGUAGGAUUCCUGAGCAUAUUAGAGACUGCUUGCUUUUGAAGUUGGUUGAUUUCAGCAGCAAUUCUCUCUCUGGGAGAGUUCCUGAAUCAAUGCAAAAGCUCACCUCAUGCACAUUUCUCAACUUGCAAGGGAAUUCAUUCUCAGGUGGCAUUCCACAUUGGAUUGGAGAAAUGAAAAGUCUAGAUACAUUGGAUCUUUCUGCAAACAGAUGUUCUGGUUGGACUCCAAAGUCAAUAGGAAAUCUUGACUUGCUGAGUAGGUUGAAUCUUUCAAGGAAUCAGAUCACAGGAAACCUGCCAGAGUUGAUGGUAAACUGCAUUAAGCUUUUGACUCUUGACCUCAGCCACAAUCACUUGGCAGGCCAUCUUCCUUCAGGGUGGUCCUCAUAACCACACAAUUGGAGGACUAGCAGUUUGCUUGAAGUAUACCCAGUCUCCAGAGUUUAAAAAUUACCAGAAUCAGGUUGUUGCUAACUGUAGAGCUCUUGCUCAGCGGUAAAGUGAGCAUGGAUAUAAACUGGUUUCUGGUGGUAGUGACAAUCACCUGGUUCUUGUUGAACUAAGGCCUUCUGAUCUUGAUGGUGCUCGGGUGGAGAAAAUUCUUGAUAUGGCUUCAAUAACCCUCAACAAAAAUUCAGUGCCUGGUAAUAAGAGUGCCUUCCCGGAGGCAUUCGCAUUGAGGCACCUGCACUGACAACAAGAGGACUUGGUGAGAAAGAAUUUUAAUGUUCAGUCUCUGGAACGAAGCUCCAAGAGUUUUUAAAGUUUAUAUCACCUUCUGAAAGUUUUUAAUGUUUAUAUCACCUUCAAAAUUUCCUUUAGGAGACAAGGUCUCUCAGAAUUGUGGAGGAAAGUUGAAGCUCUUAAAGCUCUUAAACUCAUACCCGAUACCGGAGUCUAAAUGUACCUGCUUAAUGAUACGUCCAAGAGUAUGGUACUUCUAUUUCACAUAUAUUUGUAAUUCUUAUAAGUUAUAAUACGUCUAAGAGUAUGGUACUUCUAUUUCACUUUUCAACCGCUAAUAAGUGACAUAUUACAGUCGUGAAGGGGCUUCUCCUGCAUCCCAAAUGUUUCUCCAGUACCUCAAAAUUAUUUAAACUAAAUGAAUACCCAGACCCACCUCCUGCACCCCAAAUGAAUAUUUUCUUAUGAUGACAUGGCAUAAUGUGAUUGGUUAUUUUGAUGACA